RNAcentral lists this ribosomal RNA (465 nucleotides) under uncultured bacterium. RNAcentral describes it as "partial 16S ribosomal RNA". It matches the Rfam family "Bacterial small subunit ribosomal RNA", at positions 339 to 795 of the family's 1533-position model. The record is from RNAcentral.
CUACGGGGCGCUCCAGUGAGGAAUCUUGCGCAAUGGGGGAAACCCUGACGCAGCGACGCCGCGUGGGUGAUGAAGGCCUUCGGGUCGUAAAGCCCUGUCGAGAGGGAAGAAUUGCAUUUAGGUUAAUAGCCUAAUUGUUUGACGGUACCUCCAAAGGAAGCACCGGCUAACUCCGUGCCAGCAGCCGCGGUAAUACGGAGGGUGCAAGCGUUGUUCGGAAUCACUGGGCGGAAAGGGCGUGUAGGCGGCUGAGGAAGUCAGGUGUGAAAUCCCUCGGCUCAACCGAGGAAGUGCAUUUGAUACUGCUCAUCGUGAGUACUGGAGAGGGAGAUGGAAUUCCCGGUGUAGAGGUGAAAUUCGUAGAUAUCGGGAGGAACACCAGUGGCGAAGGCGAUCUCCUGGACAGAUACUGACGCUAAGGCGCGAAAGCGUGGGGAGCAAACAGGAUUAGAUACCCGCGUAGUC